Helianthus annuus (common sunflower) is the source of this 398-nucleotide long non-coding RNA. RefSeq lists it as uncharacterized. The record is from RefSeq and is a predicted model, not a curated record. The transcript has 3 exons. NCBI's taxonomy places the organism in Eukaryota, Viridiplantae, Streptophyta, Magnoliopsida, Asterales, Asteraceae.
AAGUUAAGUGAUUAAAAGAACAAGUAACACAAACACAAACACAUAUGCGUGUGUUUAUGUCGCCAGGAGCAAGCACAGGAUGAACCCCCCUUCUUUAUUCACUAAAUUGCACAAAUUGAGGCCCUAAUCAAGACAAUUACUCUUGCAUGUUGGUAGAUUCUUGAUCUUCUAAGUCCAUUAAAGCAUAAGGAAUUAAGGAGGAAAGCUCAAGCCGAUCCGAGUCUCAAACGAAGAACGAUAAAGGUAAAGCGACUUGUUAAACGGCGUUACUUGGAUCGAACACACUCAUGAUGCACGCUUCCGCAAGGACAUUAGUUUUGGUUAAAACUUUUGUUAAAUGUACUUUUUGUUAAAACGGGUCUUUUUGUAAGUAACAUAACUUGGUUGUUGUUAGUUGU